This 495-nucleotide ribosomal RNA is filed under the name uncultured bacterium. RNAcentral's name for it is "partial 16S ribosomal RNA". It matches the Rfam family "Bacterial small subunit ribosomal RNA", at positions 28 to 507 of the family's 1533-position model. The record is from RNAcentral.
GACGAACGCUGGCGGCGUGCCUAAUACAUGCAAGUAGAACGCUGAAGGAGGAGCUUGCUUCUCUGGGUGAGUUGCGAACGGGUGAGUAACGCGUAGGUAACCUGCCUGGUAGCGGGGGAUAACUAUUGGAAACGAUAGCUAAUACCGCAUAAUAUUGACUAUUGCAUGAUAGUCAGUUGAAAGGUGCAACUGCACCACUACCAGAUGGACCUGCGUUGUAUUAGCUAGUUGGUGGGGUAACGGCUCACCAAGGCGACGAUACAUAGCCGACCUGAGAGGGUGAUCGGCCACACUGGGACUGAGACACGGCCCAGACUCCUACGGGAGGCAGCAGUAGGGAAUCUUCGGCAAUAGACGGAAGUCUGACCGAGCAACGCCGCGUGAGUGAAGAAGGGUUUCGGAUCGUAAAGCUCGGUUGUAAGAGAAGAACGAGUGUGAGAGUGGAAAGCUCACACUGUGACGGUAUCUUACCAGAAAGGGACGGCUAACUACGUG